Molecule: ribosomal RNA, 505 nt
Filed under: uncultured bacterium
Lineage: Bacteria
Description: partial 16S ribosomal RNA
Rfam family: Bacterial small subunit ribosomal RNA
Source: RNAcentral
GACGAACGCUGGCGGCGUGCCUAAUACAUGCAAGUAGAACGCACAGUUCAUACCGUCGCUUGCUACACCAUAGACUGUGAGGUGCGAACGGGUGAGUAACGCGUAGGUAACCUGCCUGGUAGCGUGGGAUAACUAUAGGAAACGAUAGCUAAUACUGCAUAAUAUUAAUUAUUGCAUGAUAAUUAAUUGAAAUGGGCAAUGUCAACACUACCAGAGGGCACUGCGUUUUAUUAGCUAUUAGGUGGGGUAACGGCUCACCUAGAUGAGGAUACGUAGCCGACCUGGGAGGGGAAUCGCCCACACUGGGACUGAGACACGGCCCAGACUCCUGCGGGAGGCAGCCGUAGGGAAUCUCCGGGAAUGGACGAAAGUCUGACCGAGCAACGCUGCGUGAGUGAAGAAGGUUGUCGGGUCGUAAAACUCUGUUAUACGAGAAGAACGUGUGUGACAGUGGAAAGUUCACACUGUGACGGUAUCUUACCAGAAAGGUACGGCUAACUACGUG